Molecule: long non-coding RNA, 1281 nt
Organism: Numida meleagris (helmeted guineafowl)
Lineage: Eukaryota; Metazoa; Chordata; Aves; Galliformes; Numididae
Source: Ensembl
AUCAGAUUUUUUUUUCCUCUUUCCUGUUGCUUUUGCAGAAAUAAAUAACUUCCUUGACAGGCUCUGGUGCUGAAGUAAGUGCACGAAUGCUGCCAGUCUUCUUGCUGGCUGCUAGCCAUAACCCUGUGUCUAACAGGAAUAAAACUGUGGCUGCUUGCUUCAGCGUCUGCACAAGGCAGAAAAUCACGUUUACUUCUCUUUGCAUGCUGGAGCUAAUGCUGGGAGCUGAAUUUUUGGGAGGGUGUUGACUUGAAUGGUAUCAUCCUUUGGGAGAAGAAAUACCCAUCUCAUGGCGUAGGGCUGUGACUGCUGUAUCUGUUUGGGAGCAUCAGGAAAUACAGAGAAUAGGAACAUGCAAAGAGCAGCAGCAACGUGAAUGCCCGCCAUGAGAACCUCGCUGAAGCCGUGGCUGCUGUUUUGUAGGCUUCGUGAAGAUGCUGGAAUUACAAAUGGAAAUGCCAAGGUCAGAAUUUCUGCCAUCGAACUAUUUGAUGACAUUGCUCCGGCAGGUCAGCAUUACGGGAUGCAGAAGGGCAAUCUUCAUGCUCUUAGGGCAGUAACUUCCAUGGGCUUAGCUCAACGUUAAGGAUUCGCCAACUCAGGAAAGCCAGGCUGCUCUUGGUGGACUCAGUGUGCCAUCUCAGGGCAGUUACCUCCUGCCAGAAAUAGACUUGCCAAUGGUUUCCAUUAGGUCCUCUGGACAGAAGACAGCAAGAGGUGGUGUGGUGUCAUGUGAAAAUGCUCCCCUCCUGUCUGGCCCCAUUAUCUGUUCAACAUUUGGAUGAGAAGAAAUGGCAGUUUUCUUAAUAGAUUGGCUUCAAACCCAUGAACCCAUGAGACAAACCAGGAGGGGAAAAGGGCUCCUGUAGCACAAGUUCCUUAGUCUUGGCCUAUCUGCUAUAGCCCAUUGCUGUCCUGGAGCCAACCUUUGUGCAGACCUUAGAUUUCUGGAGCUAAGCAGUGAAUGAGUCCAACCUCCCCUGCCUGAGGCCUGUCUAUAUUUAACUUGUUCUGGAGGUGGCCGAACUUUCUCUAACCCAGCUCCUGCAAAAGCUCAGAUCCCUUCGACAGCCCCAGCUGCCCUCCUUUCUCUGCAGCAGAGCCAUUAUCUUGGUGUUAACCCAGGGAGGGAUAACAACAUUUUCCAGCUCCCAAAACUAAAAUUUCAGCACAAAACCUUUUUGUCUGUUAAACUACAUAGAAACACAGCAGCUGAGGACCAUAUUUCUGCAGUUUUUGACACGAGAUUAAUAAAUCCAGAUCCUCCCUACUUCUUGACCA